Molecule: ribosomal RNA, 482 nt
Filed under: uncultured bacterium
Lineage: Bacteria
Description: partial 16S ribosomal RNA
Rfam family: Bacterial small subunit ribosomal RNA
Source: RNAcentral
GACGAACGCUGGCGGCGUGCUUAACACAUGCAAGUCGAACGCUGAAGCUCAGCUUGCUGGGUGGAUGAGUGGCGAACGGGUGAGUAACACGUGAGUAACCUGCCCUCUUCUUUGGGAUAACGCCCGGAAACGGGUGCUAAUACUGGAUAUUCACUGAUUCUCGCAUGGGGGUUGGUGGAAAGGUUUUUUCUGGUGGGGGAUGGGCUCGCGGCCUAUCAGCUUGUUGGUGGGGUGAUGGCCUACCAAGGCUUUGACGGGUAGCCGGCCUGAGAGGGUGACCGGUCACAUUGGGACUGAGAUACGGCCCAGACUCCUACGGGAGGCAGCAGUGGGGAAUAUUGCACAAUGGGCGAAAGCCUGAUGCAGCGACGCCGCGUGAGGGAUGGAGGCCUUCGGGUUGUAAACCUCUUUCGCUCAUGGUCAAGCCGCAGCUUUGGGUUGUGGUGAGGGUAGUGUGUAAAGAAGCGCCGGCUAACUACGUG